GUAAGGGUCGCUGAAUUUAGGGUUAUCGCCUGUUAAGCGGGAGAUGGAGGUUCGAUUCCUCCUCCGUUCG
Molecule: transfer RNA, 70 nt
Filed under: Synechococcus sp. 7002
Lineage: Bacteria; Bacillati; Cyanobacteriota; Cyanophyceae; Synechococcales; Synechococcaceae
Also listed under: 1 other name
Description: tRNA_Asn_GTT
Rfam family: tRNA
About the family: Transfer RNA (tRNA) molecules are approximately 80 nucleotides in length. Their secondary structure includes four short double-helical elements and three loops (D, anti-codon, and T loops).
Source: RNAcentral